Molecule: long non-coding RNA, 2855 nt
Filed under: Marmota monax (woodchuck)
Lineage: Eukaryota; Metazoa; Chordata; Mammalia; Rodentia; Sciuridae
Source: RNAcentral
UUUUAAGUUCUAUGUAGUAAAAUCUAUCAAGAGAAAAAUUAAAUUCAUACUGGUUAUUUUAAUAUAAAAUUGUUUGACCAACACCACUGUUAUUAUUAUAAUGAAAACUUUGAUGCUAAGAAAUGUGAAUCUUUUUUAAUUGCUCUGGCAUAAACAAUUUUAUCAUUGCCUCUGAAGUAAGUACAGAGUAGCACUGCUAGCUUGCUUUCUUUCAUUUAUCCAUUCAACAGAUAUUAAUGCAUACCUAAUAUGUCAAGAACCAAGUUCACAGAAUAACAUGGCAGCCAAAAGCAAUAUAGGAAUCAGUACUCAAGGCUAGUGAAAGAAAAAUAAUAAUUACAGGGCCAUGAAUAACCUAUUGUUUUUGUUACUUUACCUUUUAAUAUUUACUGAGAACCUAUAAAGUGCCAAUCACUACUAAGUGCAUACAUGCAUUAUGAAAAAAUGUCCAUGCCCAGGUCACUUUAGCAAAUGAAAUUAUUUCAGUUUCAGAUCACCACUCUCUUAUACUCUCUUGCAUAGCAUCUUCCUAUUUUCUGUUUCUUAUCAACAAGAAGAACAUAGCUUGUUAAAUGGUUCUCAUUACAACAUAUGAAAUCCGGCACCAUUCUGAUUAAAUCAUGGGUUAAUCUAAAUUCAUUUAAACUUGGGCAGUUCACAAACAUGGCCAUCAGACUUGAAAGGGCUACACUCUAUCUAGAUCACAAUUUGUUCAGGCACACAGGAAUGGUGUUUCCCACCUAAGCACCUACUUUCAAUACUCUCAGCCCUACAGAUGUGCAACAUUGCACUUCAGCUGCAGAAUGUGCUUUCACCAAGGCUCCAGUACCCUCCAAGUUUGCUAGAGGGAUACAGUAAGAAAACUCUUGAACCUGCCUGAAGCUGUUCAUAACUGACACCAAUCUGCAUACUUAGAUCUUUACUUCCACUGAGGGCCAGAUAAGAUAGUUAUGUGAGCAAGAUUUUCAUACAUCCUAUAAUACCAUAUAAAUGGGCACCCUUAUUAAGAUACUUCUACAUCAAGCUCUUCUGGACCAGAAUGGUAACUGUCUCAGGACUGAAAUAGCCUCCAACAUUUUUUAGCUGAAUUUGACUUAUUAACUAUUUUGUUUUUCUACUAGACCCUAAGUGGUAGUAUGUUAAGAAACUAGUUCAUUAUUAUAUCCUAUAUCUGUGGAAAGUAAGUUUUUGACAAGAGCCAGUUCAAGACAAAUGAAACUUCAUGCAGGCUUCAAAAAGUCAUUAAAGAAGUGAAGUCAAUUUUUUUUUUUUACCAGCCAUACAACCAAUAAUUCUGAGCAGCAGCUGAAAUUUAGUACAUUCUGUUUAAGGCAACAUUUAUGGACAGGUUCUCAGAAAAGAAAGAUAAACGUGAUGAGCCCUACAUCCUCCAUACUUAACUUUCUCAUGGCUCUUAAGUCUGCAUUCUUUUUGGUUCAAUCACAGUCCUAGGAAUGACACCAUCACUGCCAGUUUCCUGAAAUAAUCAGCCUCCCAGGCCAGAUAGAGACUAGGCAGCUGCACAACUCUCUUAUGAUUCUCAAUGGCAGAGGGUCACACAGGGCCAUGACCUGGCAUCACACACAGGGCCUUCCAUUCUGCAGACUAUACCUCUAGCUUCCAAACUGAGGACAAGCAAUUAUUUAAAACUAUUUUUCUGGUUACCUUGAAGACCCUCUGUCCCAAUUUCUUUUCUUCGUGUUAGUUAAAAAGCAGGGCUCACAAUUGGUUUGAAGUACAGAACUAAAGGCCACUUGCUCAGAUUGUUGGUGGCUUUUAAGAUGACUAAAGUUUUUAAGUAUAAACAUACAGAAUCAUAAAAUAAAACUAGCACCAAGGUCAACAAUCUUUGCUAUCUUGACACUGCUGUCAAGCUAGAAGGCAGGAGAAAGUUUUGAAUCCUUAAUACUUAUCUGAGAAGGCCCUUGGCAGCCUUUAUCAUCACAAUAUUUGAAUUUCUGUUAUCAAAGUGAGGACCCUUACCAAUCUUCAGUGCAUUGAGGGAAUUUAGUUUACCUAAAGAAUAAAAUUAAGUUUGAAAAAAAUAUUCUAACGUAAAGAGGAUACCCAAUAGCUGAGUUAUCAAAGACAAAAGAAACAUUGAGGUUUGAGGUCAGAGAAAGCAUUCAUAGGAGGAGUCCUUCUUUGGGUGUGAAGGGAACAAAGACCACAGAGCUGAAAUCAAUGCAGCCCUACAGCUUCAAGUAUGCUGAACAAGUUCUGGGGAUCCUGGGAAGAAAAUGUAUAGGAGAUUAAGAGCUUCCUAAUAAAAAAUGACUGAAUUUGAACAUGUCAAGGGGAAGGGAAAGCAGAGGAACUCAAAGAAACUGAGAUUUUUCUCUCAAAACCUUCUAAGGAAAAGGUUGUUGUUAUUACUGCUUGCUCUUUCCUAUCUCAGCAGCCUGGCUGGGAAGCAAUGGAGUCAGCAAGAAAAACACAAUGCGACCUUCUGUUCUAGGGGAAGUGGGAAAAAAAGAAGUCCAAGGUUGCCUCCUUCUUACCCACUCCUGAGGCACAUUUUCAUGCUAUUGUUGGACUUUGCAGUUUUCCUUCUGGUUGCCAUGGCAUCAGAGACACAAAUGCCUUCUUCCACUUUAAAACUGAAUUCCCUUACAAACAAAAUUGUUUCCAUUUGAGAAUAUUCUCACCCUCACACCCAUCAGAACUGCUUUCAAAAGAAAGAAUGUGUCUUUUUAAAAUAUGGAUGAAAUGCAUUGCCUUCUUCUGAUUAUAAGAGGAACAUAUUUUUAUUUUGAAAAUGCAGGGGAAAUUGUUUUUUUAAAUGGAAGAAAUUGCCCUAAGAGCUUUUUACCUGAUGACCAUAUAAGUGGCAUGUUAGCAUAUUUAUUUCAGGU